This 460-nucleotide ribosomal RNA is filed under the name uncultured Alkaliflexus sp. RNAcentral describes it as "bacterial SSU rRNA". It matches the Rfam family "Bacterial small subunit ribosomal RNA", at positions 338 to 795 of the family's 1533-position model. Lineage: Bacteria; Pseudomonadati; Bacteroidota; Bacteroidia; Marinilabiliales; Marinilabiliaceae. The record is from RNAcentral.
CCUACGGGGGGCAGCAGUGAGGAAUAUUGGUCAAUGGGCGCAAGCCUGAACCAGCCAUGCCGCGUGCAGGACGACUGCCCUAUGGGUUGUAAACUGCUUUUGUAUGGGAAGAAACGACGGCACGAGUGCUGUUUUGCCGGUACCAUACGAAUAAGGAUCGGCUAACUCCGUGCCAGCAGCCGCGGUAAUACGGAGGAUCCGAGCGUUAUCCGGAUUUAUUGGGUUUAAAGGGUGCGUAGGCGGGAUAUUAAGUCAGUGGUGAAAGUUUGACGCUCAACGUUAAAAUUGCCAUUGAUACUGGUUUUCUUGAGUACAGUUGAGGUAGGCGGAAUGUGGUGUGUAGCGGUGAAAUGCAUAGAUAUACCACAGAACACCGAUUGCGAAGGCAGCUUACUAAGUUGUAACUGACGCUGAAGCACGAAAGCGUGGGGAUCAAACAGGCUUAGAUACCCGAGUAGUC